This 499-nucleotide ribosomal RNA is filed under the name uncultured bacterium. RNAcentral's name for it is "bacterial SSU rRNA". It matches the Rfam family "Bacterial small subunit ribosomal RNA", at positions 903 to 1397 of the family's 1533-position model. The record is from RNAcentral.
AAAGGAAUAGACGGGGGCCCGCACAAGCGGUGGAGUAUGUGGUUUAAUUCGACGCAACGCGAAGAACCUUACCAGGGCUUGACAUCCUCUGACAGCGUAAGAGAUUACGCCUUUCGUCUUCGGAUGGACAGAGAGACAGGUGGUGCAUGGUUGUCGUCAGCUCGUGUCGUGAGAUGUUGGGUUAAGUCCCGCAACGAGCGCAACCCUUGUCUUUAGUUGCCAGCACGUAAAGGUGGGCACUCUAGAGAUACUGCCGGUGACAAACCGGAGGAAGGUGGGGAUGACGUCAAAUCAUCAUGCCCUUUAUGUCCUGGGCUACACACGUACUACAAUGGCCUGUACAAAGGGUAGCGAAGCUGCGAAGUGGAGCCAAUCCCAAAAAGCAGGUCUCAGUUCGGAUUGCAGGCUGCAACUCGCCUGCAUGAAGUCGGAAUCGCUAGUAAUCGCGGAUCAGCAUGCCGCGGUGAAUACGUUCCCGGGCCUUGUACACACCGCCCGU